UGAGCUUUCCUGGGGAAAGCAUGCUUUGAAUUUGUUCAGACCUUAAUGAGUUAUCUACGAACCAUCAAAUAUUUCACAUUCCAUAUGGAUCAUUGGGGUUUCCUAAAUGACACCAUCAGCUAGGGUGGCUGCAAGGAUCGUAAAUAACUCCUUCAGUUUAAUGAGUUACAUGAGGAAAGGCUGCUCUACCAGGUAAUGAGUCACAGCUUCACUUUGUUGUAGAUCAGCUGAGACACUUGAUUUACUGUGAGGGUUACCUGUAUUAAAACUAAUCAGAGGCUAUCCAGGAAAUCCAAACAGACCCAACCUACCACAAUUUAAUCUCCCCACAAAUAAAACCUACUCAUAAAUCAGAGCCAGCAUGUAAAUGUGUCCCUCUAAUGCUUCUAUUAGGAAACCUAAACCCACAAAAAGCUCAUAGGAUGUGAAAACUGUGGUAAUGCUGGUGGUAUCAGUCAAAUUCAUAGCACAGGAGAUGUGCUAAAACAAUGUCCACAUAGAGGAGAGCUGAGACUGAACUUUUGCUCAGGAGAAAGCAGCACCUCCAGAACUUCAGUCCACAACAGACCAGGAGAGUUGUUCUGUUAUAUCAGUGGAAAUAUGGUCUCUGUUUGCU
This 616-nucleotide long non-coding RNA is filed under the name Cyanistes caeruleus (blue tit). RNAcentral's name for it is "lncRNA (ENSCCEG00000011482.1)". Lineage: Eukaryota; Metazoa; Chordata; Aves; Passeriformes; Paridae. The record is from RNAcentral.